GAUGAACGCUAGCGGCAGGCCUAAUACAUGCAAGUCGAGGGGCAGCGCGGUAGCAAUACUGGCGGCGACCGGCGCACGGGUGCGUAACACGUAUGCAACCUACCUUCAACUGGAGGAUAGCCCGGGGAAACUCGGAUUAAUACUCCAUAACACAGGGAUCCCGCAUGGGAAUAUUGUUAAAGCUACGGCGGUUGAAGAUGGGCAUGCGUUCGAUUAGCUAGUUGGUGUAGGUAACGGCUCACCAAGGCUACGAUCGAUAGGGGGUCUGAGAGGAUGAUCCCCCACACUGGUACUGAGAUACGGACCAGACUCCUACGGGAGCAGCAGUAGGGAAUAUUGGUCAAUGGGCGCAAGCCUGAACCAGCUAUGCCGCGUGCAGGAAGAAGGCCCUCUGGGUUGUAAACUGCUUUUGAUAGGGAACAAAUGCCACUUGCGAGUGGAGCUGAGUGUACCUAUAGAAUAAGCACCGGCUAACUCCGUGCCAGCAGCCGACGG
This 495-nucleotide ribosomal RNA is filed under the name uncultured bacterium. RNAcentral's name for it is "bacterial SSU rRNA". It matches the Rfam family "Bacterial small subunit ribosomal RNA", at positions 28 to 520 of the family's 1533-position model. The record is from RNAcentral.